AAGGGUAAACUUUCAGGGAUCAUUUCUAUACUUUGUCACUAGGGAAGUUUCUCUGGACAAGCAGAGCACCAGAAAUAUGUGGAAGAAGUAUAGCAUUCUCUCCUGAGCAUGAAGUCAGUUCCUAACACUGAUUCACUGCCUUUGCUAUUUGCUAUUGAUGGUCCUCCUUCUCUUCCUUUGGGAAAGUAAGAGAGAGAUGAUAGUCUGA
RNAcentral lists this small nucleolar RNA (208 nucleotides) under Castor canadensis (American beaver). RNAcentral's name for it is "Small nucleolar RNA U3 (ENSCCNG00000026036.1)". It matches the Rfam family "Small nucleolar RNA U3". From Rfam's summary of the family: Small nucleolar RNAs (snoRNAs) are involved in the processing and modification of rRNA in the nucleolus. Lineage: Eukaryota; Metazoa; Chordata; Mammalia; Rodentia; Castoridae. The record is from RNAcentral.